Molecule: ribosomal RNA, 406 nt
Filed under: uncultured bacterium
Lineage: Bacteria
Description: partial 16S ribosomal RNA
Rfam family: Bacterial small subunit ribosomal RNA
Source: RNAcentral
AUUGAACGCUGGCGGCAGGCCUAACACAUGCAAGUCGAACGAGUGGCGGACGGGUGAGUAAUGUCUGGGAAACUGCCCGAUGGAGGGGGAUAACUACUGGAAACGGUAGCUAAUACCGCAUACCAUCGGAUGUGCCCAGAUGGGAUUAGCUAGUAGGUGGGGUAACGGCUCACCUAGGCGACGAUCCCUAGCUGGUCUGAGAGGAUGACCAGCCACACGGGAACUGAGACCCGGCCCAGACUCAUCCGGGAGGCAGCAUUGGGGAAUAGUGCACAAUGGGCGCAAGCCUUAUGCAGCCAUGCCGGGUGUAUGAAGAAGGCCUUGGGGUUGUAAAGUACUUUCAGCGAGACGGCGUUACCCGCAGAAGAAGCCCCGGCUAACUCCGUGCCAGCCGCCGCGGUAAUAC